AAAGAACCAAACGGAUUUAUGGUUUGCAAGCGGGCUUAGGCAUAAGCAGAAAUCCUGGAACAUUUCAGCCAAAAAUCUACAAACAUAGCGAACAAAACAAGGUUCACAGUGCUUCUGGUACACAAUCAUCUAUCUUUCUUUUGUCCACCUUACAAAAUGGAUAGCAAAGUUGAUACAUUCAAGGUGAAGCCAGGACAGCGGAUGCUAACUACUACAUUGCAGCUCUCGAAUUUUGUUUCAGCCAUUAGUCCUUUGAAGUUAUAACAAGCAGUCCGAAUGCGCCAAUAAGAA
RNAcentral lists this long non-coding RNA (291 nucleotides) under Populus trichocarpa (black cottonwood). RNAcentral's name for it is "long non-coding RNA (PTRI_LNC001799)". The record is from RNAcentral. Lineage: Eukaryota; Viridiplantae; Streptophyta; Magnoliopsida; Malpighiales; Salicaceae.